GAUGAACGCUGGCGGCGUGCCUAAUACAUGCAAGUCGAGCGAACAGAUGAGGAGCUUGCUCCUCUGACGUUAGCGGCGGACGGGUGAGUAACACGUGGAUAACCUACCUAUAAGACUGGGAUAACUUCGGGAAACCGGAGCUAAUACCGGAUAAUAUAUUGAACCGCAUGGUUCAAUAGUGAAAGACGGUUUUGCUGUCACUUAUAGAUGGAUCCGCGCCGCAUUAGCUAGUUGGUAAGGUAACGGCUUACCAAGGCAACGAUGCGUAGCCGAUCUGAGAGGAUGAUCGGCCACACUGGAACUGAGACACGGUCCAGACUCCUACGGGAGGCAGCAGUAGGGAAUCUUCCGCAAUGGGCGAAAGCCUGACGCAGCAACGCCGCGUGAGUGAUGAAGGUCUUCGGAUCGUAAAACUCUGUUAUUAGGGAAGAACAAAUGUGUAAGUAACUAUGCACGUCUUGACGGUACCUAAUCAGAAAGCCACGGCUAACUACGUG
RNAcentral lists this ribosomal RNA (497 nucleotides) under uncultured bacterium. Its description in RNAcentral is "partial 16S ribosomal RNA". It matches the Rfam family "Bacterial small subunit ribosomal RNA", at positions 28 to 507 of the family's 1533-position model. The record is from RNAcentral.